This 263-nucleotide ribosomal RNA is filed under the name Pyxine endochrysina. RNAcentral describes it as "partial 18S ribosomal RNA". Lineage: Eukaryota; Fungi; Ascomycota; Lecanoromycetes; Caliciales; Caliciaceae. The record is from RNAcentral.
GGUCUUUCUCAGGCUCGCUACCGCGGGUCGACUUAAAAAACCCGCUCAGUCGAUUGCUUCGGCGAUCGGCCACGCAGGUCUUCUGUUCUGGAAGCUGUUCGGAAUUAACGCCGAAGAUAACCAGCAGCUCUUGGAUCGUUGUUGAGGCGCCCAAGAUUCACAGAUCACAUGCCUGCGACCACGUUAAUGUCGUGGCUCUGAUAUGACCGAACCCCCACCAGAAAUUGGUCGGCGGAGUCGCGGAACCUGCGGAAGGAUCAUUA